CUGACGCAGCACGCCGCGUGCGGGAUGACGGCCUUCGGGUUGUAAACCGCUUUCAGCAGGGACGAAGCGAAAGUGACGGUACCUGCAGAAGAAGCACCGGCCAACUACGUGCCAGCAGCCGCGGUGAUACGUAGGGUGCAAGCGUUGUCCGGAAUUAUUGGGCGUAAAGAGCUCGUAGGCGGUUUGUCGCGUCGGAAGUGAAAACUCAGUGCUUAACACUGAGCCUGCUUCCGAUACGGGCAGACUAGAGGAAGGUAGGGGAGAAUGGAAUUCCUGGUGGAGCGGUGGAAUGCGCAGAUAUCAGGAGGAACACCAGUGGCGAAGGCGGUUCUCUGGACCUUUCCUGACGCUGAGGAGCGAAAGCGUGGGGAGCAAACAGGCUUAGAUACCCUGGUAGUCCACGCCGUAAACGGUGGGUACUAGGUGUGGGGACCAUUCCACGGUCUCCGUGCCGUAGCUAACGCAUUAAGUACCCCGCCUGGGGAGUACGGCCGCAAGGCUAAAACUCAAAGGAAAUUGACGGACGCGUCGACCCCG
RNAcentral lists this ribosomal RNA (537 nucleotides) under uncultured Propionibacteriaceae bacterium. RNAcentral's name for it is "bacterial SSU rRNA". It matches the Rfam family "Bacterial small subunit ribosomal RNA", at positions 383 to 932 of the family's 1533-position model. Lineage: Bacteria; Bacillati; Actinomycetota; Actinomycetes; Propionibacteriales; Propionibacteriaceae. The record is from RNAcentral.